UCGAACGCUUUGAGCGUUGCGCGCGGCAAGCGAAGAUCUACCGCGUUGGCAAAGCCGCAAAAAAAAGCCCCGACAAGCGGGGCUU
RNAcentral lists this antisense RNA (85 nucleotides) under Xanthomonas phaseoli pv. phaseoli. RNAcentral's name for it is "asX2". It matches the Rfam family "Xanthomonas sRNA asX2". Lineage: Bacteria; Pseudomonadati; Pseudomonadota; Gammaproteobacteria; Lysobacterales; Lysobacteraceae. The record is from RNAcentral.